RNAcentral lists this ribosomal RNA (173 nucleotides) under Polarella glacialis. RNAcentral's name for it is "partial Archaeal large subunit ribosomal RNA". Lineage: Eukaryota; Dinophyceae; Suessiales; Suessiaceae. The record is from RNAcentral.
GCGGUAUUUUGACCGUGCUAAGGUAGCAUAAUCAUUAGUCUCUUAAUUAGGGAAUAGUAUGAAUGGCUAAAUCUUUGGUUUCUUUAUUCUUUAAAAGAGGUUGAAAUUUAAUUUUAAGUGAAAAUGCUUAAAUUGGGUAAUUAGACGAUAAGACCCUUUAGAGUUUUAUUUUA